Molecule: long non-coding RNA, 211 nt
Filed under: Lotus japonicus
Lineage: Eukaryota; Viridiplantae; Streptophyta; Magnoliopsida; Fabales; Fabaceae
Description: long non-coding RNA (LJAP_LNC000241)
Source: RNAcentral
UUUUGAACUGUUUGCUUUGAACGCAAUGUUCUUCUGCUUCUUCAGUCUUUCGUCAUUAGCCAGUUCUAUUUCAUGAACCUUUAGAGAUCCGAGGAGAUCUUCUAGUCUCAAUGUGCUGAGAUCUUUAGCUUCUUGAAUAGCGGUGACUUUGGGUCUCCAUCUCCUGGGAAGGCAUCUUAGAAUCUUUGUGAUUUGAUCAACAUUUUCAUAU